UGGCGACCGGCGCACGGGUGCGUAACGCGUAUGCAACCUACCUUUAACAGGGGGAUAACACUGAGAAAUUGGUACUAAUUCCCCAUAAUAUUCGGAGAGGCAUCUCUCCGGGUUGAAAACUCCGGUGGUUAUAGAUGGACAUGCGUUGUAUUAGCUAGUUGGUGAGGUAACGGCUCACCAAGGCAACGAUACAUAGGGGGACUGAGAGGUUAACCCCCCACACUGGUACUGAGACACGGACCAG
This 244-nucleotide ribosomal RNA is filed under the name uncultured bacterium. RNAcentral describes it as "partial 16S ribosomal RNA". It matches the Rfam family "Bacterial small subunit ribosomal RNA", at positions 89 to 334 of the family's 1533-position model. The record is from RNAcentral.